RNAcentral lists this ribosomal RNA (253 nucleotides) under uncultured bacterium. RNAcentral's name for it is "partial 16S ribosomal RNA". It matches the Rfam family "Bacterial small subunit ribosomal RNA", at positions 524 to 776 of the family's 1533-position model. The record is from RNAcentral.
UACGUAGGGUGCGAGCGUUAAUCGGAAUUACUGGGCGUAAAGCGCGCGCGGGCGGCUUUUUGAGUUAGUUGUGAAAUCUCCGGGCUUAACCGUGGACGUGCGGGUGGUACGGGAAGGCUGGAGUGCUGCAGGGGGAGGUGGAAUUCCUCGUGUAGCAGUGGAAUGCGUAGAGAUGAGGAGGAACACCGAUGGCGAAGGCAGGUCUCUGGGAAAUCACUGACGCUGAUGCGCGAAAGCGUGGGGAGCGAACAGG